Non-coding RNA from Punica granatum (pomegranate), 1410 nucleotides. NCBI's taxonomy places the organism in Eukaryota, Viridiplantae, Streptophyta, Magnoliopsida, Myrtales, Lythraceae. The record is from RefSeq and is a predicted model, not a curated record.
CCCUCACAUGCCUUUUUGAAAAGGCAAAAUAGUCUUCCAUACUCAUAUUCUUCCUUCCACUGAAAAAGAAAAAAAAAAAAAAAACUUGGGGAAACUUUGGCCCCAAAUUGAGCUCGCGACAAACCAGUGUCCCCCCCCACCCCCCCAUCUCUCUCGACGGUGACGGCAAAGCUUAGUCUUAAAUUGAGCUCACCACUAAACCCUUCUGGGGCUCGAGAGUUUAUGACUCUGCGGUCUGAGCACAACUGGUGCAAGGUCGUCCUCGUUGGCACCGGUGUCACCGUUCUCACCCUCUUACUUAGUAAAUUGGGGACCCCUCCCUCCUCCUCUCCACCCUCCACCGACUGCAGGCCUCCCACCACAUCCUUCAUUCGAAGUUCUCAAACCUCUCCCUCUUAACCAUAAAUUUUAUUAGAGUCUAAACACUGAACAUGAGAAAGAAUACAAGUCUUCUUUUGCAGAGUUAGCUCUGACUCUGUACAAUUCCUUCCCAAUCAGCGCUACACCAACAAAUAAACUACAGAGCCACCCUCCGUCCCCUAAUUUAUUUUUUUUCUUUUUCUGUGGAAGGACGAAGGUGAUAUUGGAAUACCAUUUUGCCCUUUCAAAGGGAUAUGUGAGGGGCACAUUACCCAAAUUGGCCAAAAAAAUAAUACGAAUUUCAUCGUGUGGCCAUUUUUGCUUAUUUUUCAAUGAGCUUGGAGGGUAAAGCGCAAAAAUUUAAAGGCUGGAGGAAUCCCGCGAGGGAGUGCACCUAAAUUGCAAAUGAUCUGUGAAGAAGGGAUACUAUAUCUACUACCUGGGAGCGGUCGAGUGAAGAUUACGUCUGAGUUCUUUCGAAAUGGUUGUUUAGGUCACUAAGGAAGGUAAAUACUGCUUAGUUUUGGCAUUCGAGGCAAGGGAGCUGCAGCUGUCUGAUUUUGAGCAAAGACAGGCAAAAUUUGCUUCAUUCUUUGGACCUGGGAUUGCGGCUGAAAUCGGUGAAGUCCAAUUUAUCAAUAAAAAGUUUUCACGGCUCUCGCAUCUCUCUGAGGGCAAAAGACAGUGCUGUCUCAGGCUCUUGAUGAUGAUGGACAUUUGAUUGCAGGGAAAGGAGAAGACAAUCUGUAUGAAGUGAAAUUAAUCUCCAACACGACUCCCAGUGCUUCAUCAUAGAGGACACCAUUUACUCUCCUAUUCAGUGAUUUAGGUCCUACUCGAAAUCGGAAAUGUAGCACUGGUAGCCCCAUGUGAAAGCACAUCGUCUGGCGUAAUGCCCGUGUAAUCUUCUUGUAAAUGUGAAACGUUGGAAGUACAAUAAUAUGCAAGUAUGCCUAUAUACUAAUACAACAGGAUUGACACAGAUAUUUGUCCACUGCAGAGGCAUUGCGUUUCGGUUGAUGUUGUCCGAAUCAAUCUUGCUUCCGAGAA